RNAcentral lists this ribosomal RNA (587 nucleotides) under fungal sp. 57527. RNAcentral's name for it is "eukaryotic LSU rRNA". The stretch from base 221 to 374 matches the Rfam family "5.8S ribosomal RNA". The record is from RNAcentral. RNAcentral also lists the same sequence under 1 other name. Lineage: Eukaryota; Fungi.
GGUUUCCGUAGGUGAACCUGCGGAAGGAUCAUUACCGAGUGCGGGUCCUUUGGGCCCAACCUCCCAUCCGUGUCUAUUGUACCCUGUUGCUUCGGCGGGCCCGCCGCUUGUCGGCCGCCGGGGGGGCGCCUCUGCCCCCCGGGCCCGUGCCCGCCGGAGACCCCAACACGAACACUGUCUGAAAGCGUGCAGUCUGAGUUGAUUGAAUGCAAUCAGUUAAAACUUUCAACAAUGGAUCUCUUGGUUCCGGCAUCGAUGAAGAACGCAGCGAAAUGCGAUAACUAAUGUGAAUUGCAGAAUUCAGUGAAUCAUCGAGUCUUUGAACGCACAUUGCGCCCCCUGGUAUUCCGGGGGGCAUGCCUGUCCGAGCGUCAUUGCUGCCCUCAAGCCCGGCUUGUGUGUGGGGUCGCCGUCCCCCUCUCCGGGGGGACGGGCCCGAAAGGCAGCGGCGGCACCGCGUCCGAUCCUCGAGCGUAUGGGGCUUUGUCACAUGCUCUGUAGGAUUGGCCGGCGCCUGCCGACGUUUUCCAACCAUUCUUUCCAGGUUGACCUCGGAUCAGGUAGGGAUACCCGCUGAACUUAAGCAU